Molecule: long non-coding RNA, 653 nt
Organism: Etheostoma spectabile (orangethroat darter)
Lineage: Eukaryota; Metazoa; Chordata; Actinopteri; Perciformes; Percidae
Exons: 3
Source: RefSeq, a predicted model, not a curated record
CUGAGACUGAACUUGGAUGCAAACUGCUGUAGCUGCCAUUGUCAAGCUGUCAGCGGACUCGUGUAAUUAUCCUCUUGAAAAGUAUCGCGGAGCCAUUAUCCACAAAGUACCCGUUAUAGGUGCUCAGAGGCAACACAUGACGAGGGGCCGACGCACCUUCAGCAUCCAGUGACAACGUCCACGGGAAGGCAAAGAUGAACCGGCCUUUCUGAUCAAAGGACCCGUCUAUAAAGCUCAAGGCUGGCCUUCCUACACGGGCCUCACCAUGCACGACCCUUUGUAACCCAAGCUGCUCAGAUUGAUGGGAGGAUGGCUCUCAUUUGGACCAGGAGAAAAGUGGCCAGUUUAAGGGCUGCUACUGUAUUUUAAAACGGCACUGGUGUUAAAGAGACUGAUGUGCCUGGUGGCGUCGGCGGCAACGGUGACCCUCCCCCCCUGGCUGGGAGCAAAACUCCCAUUGGAAGAAUAAGAGAGAAGAAGGGGGAAGGAGGGGGAGAGGACGGGAAUGAAUCUGCGUGGCGGCGGGAAUCGAUCGUUUCUCCCUCCUUCCCGCGCUAUCUCAUCUGCAGCGGCUGAGAGAGGCAGAGCGGUUUAAACGAUCCUGACCUUGUCCGACAUAAAUAGUCAGAAAAGUCCACAGAGCUGAUAGCUUU